RNAcentral lists this ribosomal RNA (840 nucleotides) under Xiphinema index. Its description in RNAcentral is "eukaryotic LSU rRNA". It matches the Rfam family "Eukaryotic large subunit ribosomal RNA", at positions 344 to 957 of the family's 3401-position model. Lineage: Eukaryota; Metazoa; Nematoda; Enoplea; Dorylaimida; Longidoridae. The record is from RNAcentral.
CAAAGUACCGUGAGGGAAAGUUGAAAAGAACUUUGAAGAGAGAGUUCAAAAGGGCGUGAAACCGCUUAGAAUAAAACGGACGGAGCCGUCUGAGGCCCACCGGAAUCAGUCGAAUCGACGCGUGAAGGCGAGUCYGACGCGAAUAAUGGAACGAAAGUCCAGUCGGCUCGUAGGAUCGAGUAGCGCUCGUUCGAUGCAUUUCCGGAGGGUAAGCGCCGUGACCGAUGCGAGGCUAGCGAAACUGUCGGAUUGAGGUCGAGCUCGUUCGCGCGAGUCUCGUAACCAGUCCUUCGGUCGUAAUAGAAAUCGUUAGACCGCUCGAGCAUCGAGUAAAUAUAGAAUUCGAAUGUCGGCGAUCGUUUGCUCGCCUAAUACGACGGACGUACGUUCGAUCGAUCGUCACCUGCUCGCAGGUUUCGGUCCGUAUCCAGCGCGUAUCCGAAGUCGUAGGCGACGUUUCGACAUUCGGGUGUCUACGGCGUCCGAGUCGGUCGCCCGUCCGACCCGUCUUGAAACACGGACCAAGGAGUCUAACGUAAGCGCGAGCUAAUGGGUGGAAAACCCAUAAGCGAAAUAAAAGUAAAAGUCGUCUCGGACGACCGAGGUACGAUCCCGCAGGACGAAUAAUCCUCGGGCGCAGUACCGUCCCGUCCCGACCGCUCGUCGGUAGGGCGGAGACAGAGUGCUUAUGUUGGGACCCGAAAGAUGGUGAACUAUGCCUGAGCAGAGCGAAGCCAGAGGAAACUCUGGUGGAGGUUCGUAGCGGUUCUGACGUGCAAAUCGAUCGUCAGACUUGGGUAUAGGGGCGAAAGACUAAUCGAACCAUCUAGUAGCUGGUUC